GUUGAACGCUGGCGGCGUGCCUAAUACAUGCAAGUCGAGCGACCAGACGAGCUGCUUGCUGCCCUGACGUUAGCGGCGGAUGGGUGAGUCACCCGUGGAUAACCUACCUAUAAGACUGGGAUAACUUAGGGAAAACGGAUCUCACAUAGGAUAAUAUAUUGAACGGGGUGGAUCAUUAGUGAUCGCGGGAUUUGAUGUGCCUUAUGGAUGGAUCCGUGCCGGAUUAGCUAGUUGGUAAGGUAACGGCCUACCAAGGCAACGAUGCGUAGCCGACCUGAGAGGGUGACCGGCCACACUGGAACUGAGACACGGCCCAGACUCCUACGGGAGGCAGCAGUAGGGAAUCUUCCGCAAUGGGCGAAAGCCUGACGGAGCAACGCCGCGUGAGUGAUGAAGGCCUUCGGAUCGUAAAACUCUGUUAGUAGGGAAGAACAGAUGUGUGAGAAACUAAGCACUGCUUGACGGUACCUAAUCAGAAAGCCACGGCUAACUACGUG
This 497-nucleotide ribosomal RNA is filed under the name uncultured bacterium. RNAcentral describes it as "partial 16S ribosomal RNA". It matches the Rfam family "Bacterial small subunit ribosomal RNA", at positions 28 to 507 of the family's 1533-position model. The record is from RNAcentral.